AGAACAUCGGAGUCUGUUCACUCCUCCUGGCCGGGCGGGAGUGCUCGCAGACCGUCGAGACCGUAAGCAAAGGCGGGGUACCAAAGAGGGCUAUGAGCUAAGCUAAAGCUAACGCCGUAUCGGCUCUCUCUACCCAGCAUUUCCCGGUCUCUGGCGAACAAAAUGGACGAACUCUGCAUCACCAACAUUAAAUGGAUUAUGGACUCAAACAUCAUGAUCUUUACAGAGACAUGGUUAAACAGCGGUUUUCCCGGCAGUGCUACUGAGUUAGCCGGACGUCACACUCACGGUGCAGACAGGACUGCAGGCGGCUCCGGUAAGACCAGAUGCGGAGGUUUGUGCAUUUAUAUAAACAAAUCAUGGUGCACAAACUCUGUUAUCACCGAGAGACACUGGUCACUGCUUAUCUCCCAAGAGAACUCACAUCAGUUGUAGUUACUGCUGUAUACACACCACCGGACGCUAAUGCUAAGCUUCCGAUGAAAGAACUACAUGCAGCCAUUAGCAAACAGCAGACAACACACCCUGGGGCUGCCUUUAUUGUUGCUGGUGACUUUAAUCACUCCAACUUGAAGAAAGUCCUCCCCUGAAUUCAUCAAUAUAUUUCCUGCCACACUAGAGAGAACAAGACACUGGAUCAAGUUUAUUCCAACAUUGCUGAAGCUUACAAAGCUACACCUGUCCCCGACAUAGGACAAUCAGACCACCUCUCUCUUUUUCUCUACCCCAACUAUUCACCACUCAUCCAACGUGUGGAACCAAAAGUGAGGAAUCAUUCCCUAGACAUGGAGAUUCCUACUGUACACAAGCAAUAGAUCACCAGUUCAUCCUGACGGGAACAUGAAGGUCUGAACCACAUUUCAUCACACCAGUUCUUUCAAGCUGGAUCAAAAUGGCUGACGUUGCUUUCCCUGGAGCCAGUUGGAGAGAAUGGAGGACAAAUAAGAGACAGGUUAUCAAUCAUCGGCUACACUCCGGCCAAACUGUCCUUCAGAGAGAAACUCGACCUCCACAGGGUAACCCCGUGUGAAAUGCUCUCAACAGCUCUCAUGAUUUCAAUAAGUAAUUCACAUCAUCCCUUCCCCACUUCAUCCAGUUCACUCUCUCCACUUUAAUAGCUCUCGAAACAGCAAAACAACAACUCUUGACAGUCUCAACUUUUAUUUUCUUUGCAUGUCUUCCUGGAAUAACCCGUGGCCGCAGAAAAAGUGCUGCUGUGACCUCUUCGUUCCUUUGGCCUUUUAUUGGUUUGUUGCAAUCAAGAAAACGAGAGCAUUUUA
Molecule: long non-coding RNA, 1280 nt
Organism: Micropterus dolomieu (smallmouth bass)
Lineage: Eukaryota; Metazoa; Chordata; Actinopteri; Centrarchiformes; Centrarchidae
Exons: 2
Source: RefSeq, a predicted model, not a curated record